GAUGAACGCUGGCGGCGUGCCUAAUACAUGCAAGUCGAGCGAACAGACGAGGAGCUUGCUCCUCUGAUGUUAGCGGCGGACGGGUGAGUAACACGUGGAUAACCUACCUAUAAGACUGGGAUAACUUCGGGAAACCGGAGCUAAUACCGGAUAACAUGUUGAACCGCAUGGUUCAACAGUGAAAGACGGUCUUGCUGUCACUUAUAGAUGGAUCCGCGCCGCAUUAGCUAGUUGGUAAGGUAACGGCUUACCAAGGCAACGAUGCGUAGCCGACCUGAGAGGGUGAUCGGCCGCACUGGAACUGAGACACGGUCCAGACUCCUACGGGAGGCAGCAGUAGGGAAUCUUCCGCAAUGGGCGAAAGCCUGACGGAGCAACGCCGCGUGAGUGAAGAAGGUCUUCGGAUCGUAAAACUCUGUUAUUAGGGAAGAACAAAUGUGUAAGUAACUAUGCACGUCUUGACGGUACCUAAUCAGAAAGCCACGGCUAACUACGUG
RNAcentral lists this ribosomal RNA (497 nucleotides) under uncultured bacterium. RNAcentral describes it as "partial 16S ribosomal RNA". It matches the Rfam family "Bacterial small subunit ribosomal RNA", at positions 28 to 507 of the family's 1533-position model. The record is from RNAcentral.